Molecule: long non-coding RNA, 577 nt
Filed under: Struthio camelus australis
Lineage: Eukaryota; Metazoa; Chordata; Aves; Struthioniformes; Struthionidae
Description: lncRNA (ENSSCUG00000007727.1)
Source: RNAcentral
AAGGAGUAUUAAUUUGGGGUGGUUGGGGAGAGGCUGGAUGAGAAGGUAAAGGAGAUCGACAUAACGCUGAAAGACGAAAGUGGUGCUAAAAAUCAGCUCCUUUAAAGGAAAUGGUCAAGUUUUCAGCCGUCCUCUUCAAUGAGGACUUAAACGCUGACCCUCGGAUGCUACCACAACUUUAGCACAGUAAGCAUAAAUUCUUGUGUUCCAAAUGAUCUAUUUUAGCUUCCACAAGGACACUUUAUGAGAAUAAGCUUCUGCAGUUGAUGGAUCAAAGCACGCUAGCCUGCUGCAGUAAGCCAGAUGAAAGUGAACACCUUGAUCAGAGCUCAGAAGAUGAGGAUCAAGAAGAACAAGAGAGAAGUGCUCAAGUAAUCCUUGAAACAAAAGACUUCAAAGUGACAGCAGCCUGUGCCUCUGGCCAUUGUAAACCUUCAUACCAGGAGGUGCCUGAACGCCACAAGAAACUUCUGUCGCCUAAUGCAGAUCACAGUCUUGCCAAGAUAAUGGCAGAGCUAGAACAAAUACUGCCGGAGGAUAAGUUGCUAGUACAUCGGACACAGGGACAAAAGAGAUC